Molecule: ribosomal RNA, 571 nt
Filed under: uncultured delta proteobacterium
Lineage: Bacteria; Deltaproteobacteria
Description: bacterial SSU rRNA
Rfam family: Bacterial small subunit ribosomal RNA
Source: RNAcentral
AGAGUUUGAUCCUGGCUCAGAACGAACGCUGGCGGCGUGCUUAACACAUGCAAGUCGAACGCGAAAGGGACUUCGGUCCUGAGUAAAGUGGCGCACGGGUGAGUAACGCGUGGAUAAUCUGCCCUUAUGAUUGGAAUAACAGUUGGAAACGGCUGCUAAUACCGGAUACGCUCAAAAUGAACUUUUUGAGGAAAGAUGGCCUCUGCUUGCAUGCUAUCGCAUAAGGAUGAGUCCGCGUCCCAUUAGCUUGUUGGCGGGGUAACGGCCCACCCAAGGCAACGAUGGGUACCCGAUUUGAGAGGAUGAUCGUCCACCACCUGGAACUGAAACACGGUCCAGACUCCUCCGGGAGGCAGCAGUGGGGAAUAUUGCGCAAUGGGCGGAAAGCCUGACGCAGCGUACGCCCGCGUGAGGGAUGAAGGUUUUCGCGAUCGUAAACCUCUKUCACAAUGGGAAGACAGKWGCGAUAUGCGCUCACAUCGACGUCACSGGUACCGUAGCAUCUGGUAUCGCUGUCAAGAGCGAAACCRCCGGCUAUUCUACAUCUGACCCCAAGGMAUCGMAGAGCUAU